RNAcentral lists this ribosomal RNA (496 nucleotides) under uncultured bacterium. RNAcentral's name for it is "partial 16S ribosomal RNA". It matches the Rfam family "Bacterial small subunit ribosomal RNA", at positions 29 to 507 of the family's 1533-position model. The record is from RNAcentral.
ACGAACGCUGGCGGCGUGCCUAAUACAUGCAAGUAGAACGCUGAAGAGAGGAGCUUGCUCUUCUUGGAUGAGUUGCGAACGGGUGAGUAACGCGUAGGUAACCUGCCUUGUAGCGGGGGAUAACUAUUGGAAACGAUAGCUAAUACCGCAUAACAAUGGAUGACACAUGUCAUUUAUUUGAAAGGGGCAAUUGUUCCACUACAAGAUGGACCUGCGUUGUAUUAGCUAGUAGGUGAGGUAAUGGCUCACCUAGGCGACGAUACAUAGCCGACCUGAGAGGGUGAUCGGCCACACUGGGACUGAGACACGGCCCAGACUCCUACGGGAGGCAGCAGUAGGGAAUCUUCGGCAAUGGGGGCAACCCUGACCGAGCAACGCCGCGUGAGUGAAGAAGGGUUUCGGAUCGUAAAGCUCUGUUGUAAGUCAAGAACGGGUGUGAGAGUGGAAAGUUCACACUGUGACGGUAGCUUACCAGAAAGGGACGGCUAACUACGUG